RNAcentral lists this ribosomal RNA (377 nucleotides) under uncultured bacterium. RNAcentral's name for it is "bacterial SSU rRNA". It matches the Rfam family "Bacterial small subunit ribosomal RNA", at positions 28 to 414 of the family's 1533-position model. The record is from RNAcentral.
GAUGAACGCUGGCGGCGUGCCUAACACAUGCAAGUCGAGCGAUCUUCUUCGGAAGAGAGCGGCGGACGGGUGAGUAACGCGUGGGUAACCUGCCCUGUACACACGGAUAACAUACCGAAAGGUAUGCUAAUACGAGAUAAUAUACUUUUAUCGCAUGGUAGAAGUAUCAAAGCUCCGGCGGUACAGGAUGGACCCGCGUCUGAUUAGCUAGUUGGUAAGGUAACGGCUUACCAAGGCGACGAUCAGUAGCCGACCUGAGAGGGUGAUCGGCCACAUUGGAACUGAGACACGGUCCAAACUCCUACGGGAGGCAGCAGUGGGGAAUAUUGCACAAUGGGCGAAAGCCUGAUGCAGCAACGCCGCGUGAGCGAUGAAGG